AGAUUGAACGCUGGCGGCAUGCCUAACACAUGCAAGUCGAACGGGAGUAGCAAUACUCUAGUGGCGGACGGGUGAGGAAUACGUAGGAAUUUGCCCUUAAGUGGGGGAUAACCCGGGGAAACCCGGAUUAAUACCGCAUGACCUCGAAAGAGCAAAGUGGGGGAUCGCAAGACCUCACGCUUUUGGAGAAGCCUACGUCGGAUUAGCUAGUUGGUGAGGUAAUGGCUCACCAAGGCGACGAUCCGUAACUGGUCUGAGAGGAUGAUCAGUCACACCGGAACUGAGACACGGUCCGGACUCCUACGGGAGGCAGCAGUGGGGAAUAUGGACAAUGGGCGCAAGCCUGAUCCAGCAAUGCCGCGUGUGUGAAGAAGGCCUUCGGGUUGUAAGACUACGUUUAAGUUAGGAAAGUAAAAACUCGACUACUAACACAGUGUAGUCGUUAGACCGGUUACGACACGAAUAACGACCGACCGACUAACUC
This 484-nucleotide ribosomal RNA is filed under the name uncultured soil bacterium. Its description in RNAcentral is "bacterial SSU rRNA". It matches the Rfam family "Bacterial small subunit ribosomal RNA", at positions 26 to 503 of the family's 1533-position model. The record is from RNAcentral.